CAGUCGCCGCGGUAAUACGAAGGGUGCAAGCGUUAAUCGGAAUUACUGGGCGUAAAGCGUGCGUAGGCGGUGAGUUAAGUCUGCUGUGAAAUCCCCGGGCUCAACCUGGGAAUGGCAGUGGAUACUGGCUCGCUAGAGUGUGUCAGAGGAUGGUGGGAUUCCCGGUGUAGCGGUGAAAUGCGUAGAGAUCGGGAGGAACAUCAGUGGCGAAGGCGGCCAUCUGGGGCAACACUGACGCUGAGGCACGAAAGCGUGGGGAGCAAACAGGAUAGAUACCCCCGUAGUCCCUGUCUCUUAUACA
Molecule: ribosomal RNA, 301 nt
Filed under: uncultured bacterium
Lineage: Bacteria
Description: partial 16S ribosomal RNA
Rfam family: Bacterial small subunit ribosomal RNA
Source: RNAcentral